Molecule: ribosomal RNA, 266 nt
Filed under: uncultured Staphylococcus sp.
Lineage: Bacteria; Bacillati; Bacillota; Bacilli; Caryophanales; Staphylococcaceae
Description: partial 16S ribosomal RNA
Rfam family: Bacterial small subunit ribosomal RNA
Source: RNAcentral
CGGCGGACGGGUGAGUAACACGUGGAUAACCUACCUAUAAGACUGGGAUAACUUCGGGAAACCGGAGCUAAUACCGGAUAAUAUAUUGAACCGCAUGGUUCAAUAGUGAAAGACGGUUUUGCUGUCACUUAUAGAUGGAUCCGCGCCGCAUUAGCUAGUUGGUAAGGUAACGGCUUACCAAGGCAACGAUGCGUAGCCGACCUUAGAGGGUGAUCGGCCACACUGGAACUGAGACACGGUCCAGACUCCUACGGGAGGCAGCAGUC